RNAcentral lists this transfer RNA (107 nucleotides) under Ophiocordyceps sinensis CO18. It matches the Rfam family "tRNA". Rfam says of the family: Transfer RNA (tRNA) molecules are approximately 80 nucleotides in length. Their secondary structure includes four short double-helical elements and three loops (D, anti-codon, and T loops). Further hydrogen bonds mediate the characteristic L-shaped molecular structure. tRNAs have two regions of fundamental functional importance: the anti-codon, which is responsible for specific mRNA codon recognition, and the 3' end, to which the tRNAs corresponding amino acid is attached (by aminoacyl-tRNA synthetases). tRNAs cope with the degeneracy of the genetic code in two manners: having more than one tRNA (with a specific anti-codon) for a particular amino acid; and 'wobble' base-pairing, i.e. permitting non-standard base-pairing at the 3rd anti-codon position. Lineage: Eukaryota; Fungi; Ascomycota; Sordariomycetes; Hypocreales; Ophiocordycipitaceae. The record is from Rfam by way of RNAcentral.
GGCAAGUUGGCCGAGUUGGUUAUGGCGCCAGGUUAAGGUUCUCUUGGCAAACCACCAGACGAUUCCUGGUGGAGCAAUCCUCCUGGGUUCAAGUCCCAGACUUGUCA